UACGUAGGGGGCUAGCGUUGUCCGGAAUCAUUGGGCGUAAAGCGCGUGUAGGCGGUUCGGUAAGUCCGCUGUGAAAGUUGGGGGCUCAACCCUCGAAUGCCGGUGGAUACUGUCGGACUAGAGUACGGAAGAGGCGAGUGGAAUUCCUGGUGUAGCGGUGAAAUGCGCAGAUAUCAGGAGGAACACCAAUGGCGAAGGCAGCUCGCUGGGACGGUACUGACGCUGAGACGCGAAAGCGUGGGGAGCAAACAGG
This 253-nucleotide ribosomal RNA is filed under the name uncultured bacterium. RNAcentral describes it as "partial 16S ribosomal RNA". It matches the Rfam family "Bacterial small subunit ribosomal RNA", at positions 524 to 776 of the family's 1533-position model. The record is from RNAcentral.